AUACGAAGGGGGCUAGCGUUGUUCGGAAUCACUGGGCGUAAAGCGCAUGCAGGCGGAUCGUUUAGUCGGGGGUGAAAUCCCGAGGCUCAACCUCGGAACUGCCUCCGAUACUGGCGAUCUUGAGUCCGGGAGAGGUGAGUGGAACUGCGAGUGUAGAGGUGAAAUUCGUAGAUAUUCGCAAGAACACCAGUGGCGAAGGCGGCUCACUGGCCCGGUACUGACGCUCAGGUGCGAAAGCGUGGGGAGC
RNAcentral lists this ribosomal RNA (247 nucleotides) under uncultured bacterium. Its description in RNAcentral is "partial 16S ribosomal RNA". It matches the Rfam family "Bacterial small subunit ribosomal RNA", at positions 523 to 769 of the family's 1533-position model. The record is from RNAcentral.